UACGUAGGGGGCAAGCGUUGUCCGGAAUCAUUGGGCGUAAAGCGCACGUAGGCGGAUAUUUAAGUCAGGGGUGAAAUCCCAGAGCUCAACUCUGGAACUGCCUUUGAUACUGGGUAUCUUGAGUAUGGAAGAGGUAAGUGGAAUUGCGAGUGUAGAGGUGAAAUUCGUAGAUAUUCGCAGGAACACCAGUGGCGAAGGCGGCUUACUGGUCCAUAACUGACGCUGAGGUGCGAAAGCGUGGGGAGCAAACAGG
Molecule: ribosomal RNA, 253 nt
Filed under: uncultured bacterium
Lineage: Bacteria
Description: partial 16S ribosomal RNA
Rfam family: Bacterial small subunit ribosomal RNA
Source: RNAcentral